UACGUAGGGUGCGAGCGUUGCCCGGAUUUAUUGGGCGUAAAGAGCUCGUAGGCGGUGUGUCGCGUCGGCCGUGAAAACCUGCAGCUUAACUGUGGGCUUGCGGUCGAUACGGGCAUCACUGGAGUUCGGCAGGGGAGACUGGAAUUCCUGGUGUAGCGGUGAAAUGCGCAGAUAUCAGGAGGAACACCGAUGGCGAAGGCAGCCCCCUGGGCUAACACUGACGCUCAUGCACGAAAGCGUGGGGAGCAAACAGG
RNAcentral lists this ribosomal RNA (254 nucleotides) under uncultured bacterium. RNAcentral's name for it is "partial 16S ribosomal RNA". It matches the Rfam family "Bacterial small subunit ribosomal RNA", at positions 524 to 776 of the family's 1533-position model. The record is from RNAcentral.